Molecule: ribosomal RNA, 445 nt
Filed under: uncultured bacterium
Lineage: Bacteria
Description: partial 16S ribosomal RNA
Rfam family: Bacterial small subunit ribosomal RNA
Source: RNAcentral
GUGAGGAAUAUUGCGCAAUGGAGGCAACUCUGACGCAGCCAUGCCGCGUGCAGGAAGAAGGCGCUACGCGUUGUAAACUGCUUUUAACCGGGAAGAAACCCCAGGACGUGUCCUGGGUUGACGGUACCGGAGGAAUAAGCACCGGCUAACUUCGUGCCAGCAGCCGCGGUAAUACGACGGGUGCAAGCGUUAUCCGGAUUCAUUGGGUUUAAAGGGUGCGUAGGCGGAGCGUCAAGUCAGUGGUGAAAUCCUGCAGCUUAACUGUAGACUUGCCAUUGAUACUGGCGCUCUUGAGUGCGCUUGAAGUGGGCGGAAUGUGCCGUGUAGCGGUGAAAUGCUUAGAUAUGGCACAGAACACCAAUUGCGAAGGCAGCUCACUAAGGCGAUACUGACGCUGAGGCACGAAAGCGUGGGGAUCGAACAGGAUUAGAAACCCGGGUAGUCC